Non-coding RNA from Sus scrofa (pig), 1549 nucleotides. The record is from RefSeq and is a predicted model, not a curated record. NCBI's taxonomy places the organism in Eukaryota, Metazoa, Chordata, Mammalia, Artiodactyla, Suidae.
CGGACACUAUGUGAGGUUUCUAACCCACUGAGCCACAAGGGGAACUCCUGUUUCAGAACUUAGAAUCGUGUUUCUUGGCUGCUCUCUCUCCUCUUGCUUUGUCUGUUUUGCAGUCGCAACUCGCUUAGCACUUAUGCCCCGACAUGCAUUUUUCAGAACAGUGUUUUCUUCCCGCUGCGAACCUUCUGUAAAAGGCUUGGGGUUUGUGGGUUUCAGUUCCAAGUCUUAGAACUUGUUUUCUGCUGGGCUCUGAUGAGAGGUCAUCGAGUGCAAGGUGGAGUCAGGGUUGAGUUAAUUAUUUCAUAGGGCUUCCUCUUGGUCUGUGUCAACUCUUUGAGCUGUCCUGGCAGCCGAUGCCUUCACACGCAGGGGAUGGGAGGUGCGGGGGGGAAGGGGGCAGGGAGGUAACGCGGUUGGCAAGCGCUAAAGAUCAGGGCCACAGCAUCCCUGCCUCCCUGACCCCUCCAUCUUUCUGCUGCAACCAAUCAACACACUGCCUCACUUAGUCACACACAAGCCUGGAUGAGGCUUGCGGAGGGAAGCAGGUGCUUGGGGUUAUUACUGACCUACCAAAGGAAGGUUCAGAGAGGCCAAGGAGCUGUGUGACCUUCCGGUUAAACUGUGACUUCACCAAGGAGAGGAGUAUUGGAGUUGGCCCAGGCGUGCAGAAGGAGGCAGAGAAGGAAAGAGCAAAGGAAUCUCCGUGUUCCGGAUGUACUUACAUGGAUAUCCUUGGGGGAGCUGGUUUAUAUGCGGCACGUUCCCUACACGAGGAGUUCCAGGAUAUUCACGUCACUUGCUAGGGAAACUUGGAAAGCUUUGGCAAACUGACUUAAUGCUCAUCCAAAGUCAGACUCAGCACCUUUCUCCGGAAACUCAAAGAAGAAGAAGAAGAAAAAAAAAAGGGGAUGGAAUUCGUCUUGGGAAUUUCAUUAAGAACACAACAGCAACACCUUCUGCUGUGUCUAUGGCGCUGAUCUAGCCAAGAGUGUAUCUCUGGAAGGCAAUUCUGAGCUCAUUUUUGUGGCCGUGUGAAUUUAGUUGCUUGUUUUUAUUAAUAACCUGCUUCUGUUGUUUAAUGAAAACCAGAAUCUACUUCACUGUCUCAAAAACAUCAGUGCCUCCCUUCUUACUUUCAUGGUUUUCCCCUGACUUUCAUUUUAUUCAUUUUCAAGUGGAAGUAAGAUAAUGCACACAUGGGAUUUCCCCACAGUCAAAAUGCACCUAAAUUAAAAAUCUUAAACAUGUCUGAUUUGAGGACAAUACUGUUUAAUCAUUGUCUACAAUUUAAGUGUUAAAGGACAGGAAUCAACCCGAGCUUGAAAAGGUGGGAUGAGCCUGUCUCCCUAGUGACUUACACCGUGGAGAACAGAGAAUUUCCAGAAGGGAAUGAGGAACAACUCUUGCAAUGUGAGAAUGGAAUUGCUUUAUCUUUAACCAGCGUGUGAUGGAACAGAUAUUUGUUGGACAAAUUAGUGCAAGAUACUGUUCUUUUUUUUUAAAGUUUUGUUGAAGUAUAGUUGAUUUACAAGAUUGUAAUAAUUCGUGA